AUAGCUCACUGGUCGAGUCGGCCCGCGCGGAAGAUGUAACGGGGCUAAACCAUGCACCGAAGCUGCGGCAGCGACACGUAGUGUUGUUGGGUAGGGGAGCGUUCUGUAAGCCUGCGAAGGUGUACUGUGAGGUAUGCUGGAGGUAUCAGAAGUGCGAAUGCUGACAUAAGUAACGAUAAUGCGGGUGAAAAACCCGCACGCCGGAAGACCAAGGGUUCCUGUCCAACGUUAAUCGGGGCAGGGUGAGUCGACCCCUAAGGCGAGGCUGAAAAGCGUAGUCGAUGGGAAACGGGUUAAUAUUCCCGUACUGGUGGUAACUGCGAUGGGGGAACGGAGAAGGCUAGGUUGUCCGGGCGACGGUCGUCCCGGUUCAAGCAGGUAGGCAGAGUGAUUAGGCAAAUCCGGUCACUUAAUGCUGAGAUGUGAUGACGAACCACCAAGGUGGUGAAGCAAUUGAUGCCCCGCUUCCAGGAAAAGCCUCUAAGCUUCAGGUUACCAACAAUCGUACCCCAAACCGACACAGGUGGUCAGGUAGAGAAUACUCAGGCGCUUGAGAGAACUCGGGUGAAGGAACUAGGCAAAAUGGUGCCGUAACUUCGGGAGAAGGCACGCUGGCGGUAGGUAAAGUCCCUCGCGGACGGCGC
Molecule: ribosomal RNA, 644 nt
Filed under: Proteus mirabilis
Lineage: Bacteria; Pseudomonadati; Pseudomonadota; Gammaproteobacteria; Enterobacterales; Morganellaceae
Description: partial 23S ribosomal RNA
Rfam family: Bacterial large subunit ribosomal RNA
Source: RNAcentral